GAUGAACGCUGGCGGCGUGCCUAAUACAUGCAAGUCGAGCGAACAGACGAGGAGCUUGCUCCUCUGACGUUAGCGGCGGACGGGUGAGUAACACGUGGAUAACCUACCUAUAAGACUGGGAUAACUUCGGGAAACCGGAGCUAAUACCGGAUAAUAUAUUGAACCGCAUGGUUCAAUAGUGAAAGACGGUUUUGCUGUCACUUAUAGAUGGAUCCGCGCCGCAUUAGCUAGUUGGUAAGGUAACGGCUUACCAAGGCAACGAUGCGUAGCCGACCUGAGAGGUUGAUCGGCCACACUGGAACUGAGACACGGUCCAGACUCCUACGGGAGGCAGCAGUAGGGAAUCUUCCGCAAUAGGCGAAAGCUUGACGGAGCAACGCCGCGUGAGUGAUGAAGGUCUUCGGAUCGUAAAACUCUGUUAUUAGGGAAGAACAAAUGUGUAAGUAACUAUGCACGUCUUGACGGUACCUAAUCAGAAAGCCACGGCUAACUACGUG
This 497-nucleotide ribosomal RNA is filed under the name uncultured bacterium. RNAcentral's name for it is "partial 16S ribosomal RNA". It matches the Rfam family "Bacterial small subunit ribosomal RNA", at positions 28 to 507 of the family's 1533-position model. The record is from RNAcentral.